GUAACUUAACAGACCGUGAGAUUCACAAAAUCUCAAAAAUAAAAGGUCGUGAUUGUAAAUCAGUAGACCGUGAGAUUUGUAAAAUCUCGAAAGUAAAAGGUCGUGAUCAUAAAUCGACGAACCGUGAGAUUUGUAAAAUCUCGAAAAUAGAAGGUCUGAUCAUAAAUCAACAGACUGUGAGAUUCGUAAAAUCUUAAAAAUAGAAGGUCGUGAUUGUAAAUCAGCAGACCAAGAAAUUCGUAAAAUUUCAAAAGUAGAAGGUCGUGAUCGUAAAUCAGCAUAACAACCCAGAAGAUAUAAGUUGGACCUAUACUCACUUAU
Molecule: long non-coding RNA, 321 nt
Filed under: Gossypium raimondii (Peruvian cotton)
Lineage: Eukaryota; Viridiplantae; Streptophyta; Magnoliopsida; Malvales; Malvaceae
Description: long non-coding RNA (GRAI_LNC010077)
Source: RNAcentral